Molecule: ribosomal RNA, 425 nt
Filed under: uncultured bacterium
Lineage: Bacteria
Description: bacterial SSU rRNA
Rfam family: Bacterial small subunit ribosomal RNA
Source: RNAcentral
UGAGGAAUAUUGGUCAAUGGGCGAGAGCCUGAACCAGUCAAGUCGCGUGAGGGAAGACGGUCCUACGGAUUGUAAACCUCUUUUGUCGGGGAGCAAUAAAGCGUACGCGUACGCAGAUGCGAGUACCCGAAGAAAAAGCAUCGGCUAACUCCGUGCCAGCAGCCGCGGUAAUACGGAGGAUGCGAGCGUUAUCCGGAUUUAUUGGGUUUAAAGGGUGCGCAGGCGGAAAGUGCAAGUCAGCGGUCAAACGACGGGGCUCAACCCCGUUUCGCCGUUGAAACUGUCUUUCUAGAGUGAGCGAGAAGUAUGCGGAAUGCGUGGUGUAGCGGUGAAAUGCAUAGAUAUCACGCAGAACUCCGAUUGCGAAGGCAGCAUACCGGCGCUCAACUGACGCUCAUGCACGAAAGCGUGGGUAUCGAACAGGA